GAUGAACGCUAGCGGCAGGCUUAACACAUGCAAGUCGAGGGGCAGCGCGGGAUAGCAAUAUCCUGGCGGCGACCGGCGGAAGGGUGCGUAACGCGUGAGCGACAUGCCCGUUGCCCGGGGACAACCGGUGGAAACGCCGACUAAUCCCCGAUGGGAUAUUGUGCCGCAUGGCACGAUAUUGAAAGUUACGGCGGCGACGGAUUGGCUCGCGUCCGAUUAGCUUGUUGGCGGGGUAACGGCCCACCAAGGCUGCGAUCGGUAGGGGUUCUGAGAGGAAGGCCCCCCACAAUGGGACUGGGACACGGCCCAUACUCCUACGGGAGGCAGCAGUGAGGAAUAUUGGUCAAUGGGCGGAAGCCUGAACCAGCCAUGCCGCGUGCGGGAAGGAGGCCCUAUGGGCUGUGAACCGCUUUUGCCUGGGGGCAAUAAGGGCGUCGCGCACGUCCGAUGAGAGUACCAGGCGAAUAAGCAUCGGCUAACUCCGUG
This 486-nucleotide ribosomal RNA is filed under the name uncultured bacterium. Its description in RNAcentral is "partial 16S ribosomal RNA". It matches the Rfam family "Bacterial small subunit ribosomal RNA", at positions 28 to 507 of the family's 1533-position model. The record is from RNAcentral.